CCCAGGGAUCACACAACCUGAACCGAAAUCAAGAGUCAGACGCUCAACGGACUGAGCUACCCAGGCGCCCCUGAAGGAAGCUUUUAUAUGCGAGACAUGAUUGCAACCCGGACCAGGGUGGAAUACGUGUGGGUGGCAAGAAGCACACCAUUCCAGAAGCUAGAAAAAGCAUCGAGAUGAUUAUGGUCUUUAGCAGCAGGAUGGCGUUGCCACGAGUGAUGUGAAAUGAUGUAAACCACUCCUGGGAGGGCUGCUGUGUUUUAAACCUCACUUCAGCUUUUCCUCACCUCCGUCUGGUGAUGAACAGCAGACAGGAGAGAAGGCUUCGUGGGAGCUUGCGCAACAUGUGUGACAAUGGAUCAAUGGCCACAAAAGUCCCGCCAGCCUAAGCGGCAGCUCCUAAAGCGGUGGUUCACAAAAACACAUUCCUUCUGUGGUCAACGGGGGAGCGACGAAAAAGAGUUCCACGUUCAUCUCUUUGAGUUUAGGAAAUUCUGGACUCACUGAAGUUAAAUAGGUCUCCCUCCUACAGAAUUUCCCGGAGUCUCUAGCAUGAAGAUAUGCAUGGAGAGCCUGCCUGAGGGGUUCCACAGAAUUCUGGGUCUCUCUCCAGGUUUCGAAGAAUAUUCAUGGACACUCCUCUUCUCAAAAUCAAUGGUUUGUUAUCAUCACGAGUACGUAAAAUGGGUAUUUAAACAACGCUUCACCUUGGGGAGAGAUGACUACGUUUUGAGGUAGCCUCGCACGACGAGCUUGACUUGAUUCCAUCAGCUGGGGAACAAGGCCAUCGGUCAUUCGGUGAAUAAGGCCAUCGCUAUUUGCGACAUCAAAUCAAGAAGUCUCCAACCAACAGAGCAUCAGCCAAAGCGGUGGGCGUUUAUGAGGCGGCGAUCCAACUUCUGGGACCCGGAGGACAGCUGCCGUAUUUUGGUGCGCAUCCAUCGAGACCAACUGGUCUAUUG
Herpailurus yagouaroundi (jaguarundi) is the source of this 962-nucleotide long non-coding RNA. RefSeq lists it as uncharacterized. Lineage: Eukaryota; Metazoa; Chordata; Mammalia; Carnivora; Felidae. The record is from RefSeq and is a predicted model, not a curated record. The transcript is spliced from 5 exons.